RNAcentral lists this unclassified non-coding RNA (360 nucleotides) under Hevea brasiliensis (rubber tree). Lineage: Eukaryota; Viridiplantae; Streptophyta; Magnoliopsida; Malpighiales; Euphorbiaceae. The record is from RNAcentral.
GGAGAGAGAGAGAGAGAGAGUAUAAUCACAUCGGAGGAUAGAUACUAAUUGGUAUUCUAAAUUAUACAUAUAGGAAUAUGUACUGCAAAAAGUCCUAGUAAUAAGUUCCUUCUAUUAAAAUAUUUAACUAGAAAUUGAUAAGGAGCCUAUUGAUGUUGUACAAAGAUGCUUUAAUACCAAAUUGACGAAGCACCAAAAAGAAUAAAAGCAAACAAGGACCAAAUCCUUAAGGAAAAGCGAAAUUAUUUCUCAGUUGUAUUAAUUCUCAAAUAAUUAUCAUAUCAAGGUCUGAAAACUAUGUAAAUAACUAGGUCCUAUCUAUAAAAUUAAGAAUCCCAUUCACAUUAGGAUUUUAGAAUU